CAGUCGCCGCGGGAAUACGUAGGGUGCGAGCGUUAAACGGAAUUACUGGGCGUAAAGCGUGCGUAGGCGGCUGUGUAAGACAGGUGUCAAACCCCAGGGCUUAACCUGGGAAAUGCGCUUGUGACUGCAAAGCUGGAGUAUGGCAGGGGCAGAUGGAAUUCCAGGUGUAGCAGUGAAAUGCGUAGAGAUCUGGAAGAACACCGACGGCGAAGGCAGCCCCCUGGGCCAAUACUGACGCUCAUGCACGAAAGCUUGGGGAGCAAACAGGAUUAGAUACCCCAGUAGUCCCUGUCUCUUAUAC
Molecule: ribosomal RNA, 301 nt
Filed under: uncultured bacterium
Lineage: Bacteria
Description: partial 16S ribosomal RNA
Rfam family: Bacterial small subunit ribosomal RNA
Source: RNAcentral